RNAcentral lists this unclassified non-coding RNA (217 nucleotides) under Hevea brasiliensis (rubber tree). The record is from RNAcentral. Lineage: Eukaryota; Viridiplantae; Streptophyta; Magnoliopsida; Malpighiales; Euphorbiaceae.
GCUGUCAUCACCACCACCGCCGUCCCUUACCCCGGCGUCCCAUCUUGCCCCUCCGCCGCCUCCCCCUCCCUCUCCCCCCCUCCGCCACCUACGCCGCCGACGAAGUCCCCGUCGAUGAGGAAUUUCUCAAAGCCUUCGCCCCCAAAGAGAAAGAAUCCGAAGACGAGGCCCGCCGCCGCAACUGGAUCGAGCGCGGCUGGGCGCCCUGGGAGGAGAU